UGUCAAGCUUCCACACAUACCGAAUAAAUCUUUCGCCUUUUACUAAAGAUUCCUGUGUACAUGGUGGGAAACAAUUGAGACUAAAUCUUCCAGCUACCUUUAGGUAGCU
Molecule: small nuclear RNA, 109 nt
Organism: Eurytemora carolleeae
Lineage: Eukaryota; Metazoa; Arthropoda; Copepoda; Calanoida; Temoridae
Product: U5 spliceosomal RNA
Exons: 1
Source: RefSeq, a predicted model, not a curated record